CAGCUGAGGCCAAAGAAUAUAUUAAGAGCAACAGAGAUUAGCAUGGAGUCCAGAGGCAUACGAGGAAUCUGACCCUUUCAAGCCUGGGCCUGGUUAUUUGAAGGAAGAGUUUACAUGAAUUAUGAAAAUUCGAUAUCCUGCAGUAGUAUUGUAAUUAACAAUGUAUUAUCCUUAUCUUUUGAUAUUCUUAUUAUUGUUGUCUAUGCAUUUGUUGUUAAGUUGGCAGAAAGCAUGUUAACGCUUAUUCCCCAGUGAUUUUAGCUCAUUCAAAUCCAGAAAAGAAACUGGUGGCUCUUUUUUUGUGUCUUCUCUGCAGAUUGAAAUUAUUCUUGGACAAUUGAACCUGUAAAGAUUAUUGGGCAGGAAUUGUUGGGCCUUUUUCCUGCUCUCAUUCACUUAAAUGUGAGACCGCA
This 413-nucleotide unclassified non-coding RNA is filed under the name Hevea brasiliensis (rubber tree). The record is from RNAcentral. Lineage: Eukaryota; Viridiplantae; Streptophyta; Magnoliopsida; Malpighiales; Euphorbiaceae.